AGGCCGUUAACUCAGCUCGGUAGAGUGCCAAUCUCCAAAACUGGAUGACGGAUCGGGUUCGAAUCUCCCACGGCCUGCCA
This 80-nucleotide transfer RNA is filed under the name Deinococcus sp. QL22. RNAcentral's name for it is "tRNA-Trp". It matches the Rfam family "tRNA". Rfam says of the family: Transfer RNA (tRNA) molecules are approximately 80 nucleotides in length. Their secondary structure includes four short double-helical elements and three loops (D, anti-codon, and T loops). Lineage: Bacteria; Thermotogati; Deinococcota; Deinococci; Deinococcales; Deinococcaceae. The record is from RNAcentral.